UACGGGGGGGGCAAGCGUUGUUCGGAAUUACUGGGCGUAAAGGGCUCGUAGGCGGCCAACUAAGUCAGACGUGAAAUCCCUCGGCUUAACCGGGGAACUGCGUCUGAUACUGGAUGGCUUGAAUCCGGGAGAGGGAUGCGGAAUUCCAGGUGUAGCGGUGAAAUGCGUAGAGAUCGGCAGGAACACCCAGGGGGAAACCAGCCGACUGGGCAUCUACUGACGCUGAGGUGCGAGAGCGUGGGGAGCGAACCGG
This 253-nucleotide ribosomal RNA is filed under the name uncultured bacterium. RNAcentral's name for it is "partial 16S ribosomal RNA". It matches the Rfam family "Bacterial small subunit ribosomal RNA", at positions 524 to 776 of the family's 1533-position model. The record is from RNAcentral.